AUGAAUGAAUGUAGAGUUAGUUGUAGCUGGCCUCCCUGAGGCAUGUGCACGCUUUCUCUUUCAUCCACACACCCCUGUGCACUUGUGAGACGGAGGCAUUUUCCUUUAAUCGGGAUGGUCUCCGUCUACUAUCACAUAAAAUCUAAUUUAAUUAAACUGAAUGUAAUUGAUGUAACGCAUCUAAUAC
This 187-nucleotide unclassified non-coding RNA is filed under the name uncultured Ceratobasidium. RNAcentral describes it as "sequence contains ITS1". The record is from RNAcentral. Lineage: Eukaryota; Fungi; Basidiomycota; Agaricomycetes; Cantharellales; Ceratobasidiaceae.